Molecule: transfer RNA, 75 nt
Filed under: Candidatus Kerfeldbacteria bacterium RIFCSPLOWO2_01_FULL_48_11
Lineage: Bacteria; Candidatus Kerfeldiibacteriota
Also listed under: 1 other name
Description: tRNA-Met
Rfam family: tRNA
About the family: Transfer RNA (tRNA) molecules are approximately 80 nucleotides in length. Their secondary structure includes four short double-helical elements and three loops (D, anti-codon, and T loops).
Source: RNAcentral
CGCGGGAUAGAGCAGUAGCAGCUCGCCGGGCUCAUAAUCCGGAGGUCGGGGGUGCAAAUCCCCCUCCCGCAACCA